GCCCGUAUAGCUCAGUGGUAGAGC
RNAcentral lists this non-coding RNA (24 nucleotides) under Arabidopsis thaliana (thale cress). RNAcentral also lists the same sequence under 1 other name. Lineage: Eukaryota; Viridiplantae; Streptophyta; Magnoliopsida; Brassicales; Brassicaceae. The record is from RNAcentral.